CGGGGUGAGUAGUGUCUGGGAAACUGCCUGAUGGAGGGGGGUAACUACUGGAAACGGUAGCUAAUACCGCAUAACGUCUUCGGACCAAAGUGGGGGACCUUCGGGCCUCACGCCAUCGGAUGUGCCCAGAUGGGAUUAGCUAGUAGGUGGGGUAAUGGCUCACCUAGGCGACGAUCCCUAGCUGGUCUGAGAGGAUGACCAGCCACACUGGAACUGAGACACGGUCCAG
Molecule: ribosomal RNA, 229 nt
Filed under: uncultured bacterium
Lineage: Bacteria
Description: partial 16S ribosomal RNA
Rfam family: Bacterial small subunit ribosomal RNA
Source: RNAcentral